UCGGGAAUUUUGCGCAAUGGACGAAAGUCUGACGCAGCAACGCCGCGUGAGGGAUGACGGCCUUCGGGUUGUAAACCUCUUUUGUCAGGGACGAUGAUGACGGUACCUGACGAAUAAGCCACGGCUAACUACGUGCCAGCAGCCGCGGUAAUACGUAGGUGGCAAGCGUUGUCCGGAUUUACUGGGCGUAAAGAGCGCGCAGGCGGUCGUUCAAGUCGCGUGUGAAAGCCCCCGGCUCAACUGGGGAGGGUCACGCGAUACUGAUCGACUCGAAGGCAGGAGAGGGUAGUGGAAUUCCCGGUGUAGUGGUGAAAUGCGUAGAUAUCGGGAGGAACACCAGUGGCGAAGGCGACUACCUGGCCUGUUUCUUGACGCUGAGGCGCGAAAGCGUAGGGGAGCGAAACGGGAUUAGAUACCCCCGGUAGUCCCUAGCCGCAAACGAUGGACACUAGGUGUUGGUGGUAUCAACCCCGCAGUGCCGAAGCUAACGC
RNAcentral lists this ribosomal RNA (491 nucleotides) under uncultured Acidobacteriota bacterium. Its description in RNAcentral is "bacterial SSU rRNA". It matches the Rfam family "Bacterial small subunit ribosomal RNA", at positions 355 to 858 of the family's 1533-position model. Lineage: Bacteria; Pseudomonadati; Acidobacteriota. The record is from RNAcentral.